This is a non-coding RNA of Dryococelus australis, 72 nucleotides long. Lineage: Eukaryota; Metazoa; Arthropoda; Insecta; Phasmatodea; Phasmatidae. The record is from the annotation of a GenBank genome assembly.
UCCUCGGUAGUAUAGUGACUAGUAUCCCCGCCUGUCGCGCGGGAGACCGGGAUUCGAUUCCACGGCGGGAAG